AUGGUAAAUUGUUCACUCAGAUAGCAAUCUGCGUGAACAAUUUCCCAUGC
Molecule: microRNA precursor, 50 nt
Filed under: Parasteatoda tepidariorum (common house spider)
Lineage: Eukaryota; Metazoa; Arthropoda; Arachnida; Araneae; Theridiidae
Description: microRNA pte-mir-11960 precursor
Source: miRBase by way of RNAcentral